CAAAAACAUGGCCUUUUGAUUAUAAUUUAAGGUCUGGCCUGCCCAAUGAUUUAUUAAAUGGCCGCGGUAUUCUGACCGUGCAAAGGUAGCAUAAUCACUAGUUUUUUAAUUGGAAGCUUGAAUGAAAGGUUGGAUGAGGAAACUACUGUCUCAAUUAAAGUUUUUUAGAAUUUUAUUAUUUUGUAAAAAGGCUAAAAUUAUUAUAAAAGACGAGAAGACCCUAUAGAGUUUUAUAAUUUAAAUAGAAAGAGUAAUUAGAAUAAAUUUCUUUAUUUGUUUAAAUUAUUUGGUUGGGGUGAUUGAAAAAUUUAAUUAACUUUUUUUGAAAGAUUACAUAGAUUUAUGGGUAUUUGAUCCUUAUUAAAGAUUAAAAGAAAAAAUUACCUUAGGGAUAACAGCGUUAUUUUUCUUGAGAGU
This 417-nucleotide ribosomal RNA is filed under the name Euwallacea sp. 5 KO-2014. RNAcentral describes it as "partial 16S ribosomal RNA". The stretch from base 1 to 196 matches the Rfam family "Archaeal large subunit ribosomal RNA", at positions 1900 to 2143 of the family's 2987-position model. The record is from RNAcentral. Lineage: Eukaryota; Metazoa; Arthropoda; Insecta; Coleoptera; Curculionidae.